This 820-nucleotide ribosomal RNA is filed under the name uncultured Anaerovibrio sp. Its description in RNAcentral is "bacterial SSU rRNA". It matches the Rfam family "Bacterial small subunit ribosomal RNA", at positions 36 to 842 of the family's 1533-position model. The record is from RNAcentral. Lineage: Bacteria; Bacillati; Bacillota; Negativicutes; Selenomonadales; Selenomonadaceae.
CUGGCCGCUGCUUACCAUGCAAGUCGAACGGAGAUUCAGCAAUGGAUCUUAGUGGCGAACGGGUGAGUAACGCGUAGGCAAUCUGCCUUCUAGAUGGGGACAACAUCCCGAAAGGGGUGCUAAUACCGAAUGUUGUACCGUUUCCGCAUGGAGAUGAUACUAAAGGUGGCCUCUGAAUAUGCUACCGCUAGAAGAUGAGCCUGCGUCUGAUUAGCUAGUUGGAGGGGUAACGGCCCACCAAGGCUUCGAUCAGUAGCCGGUCUGAGAGGAUGAACGGCCACACUGGGACUGAGACACGGCCCAGACUCCUACGGGAGGCAGCAGUGGGGAAUCUUCCGCAAUGGACGAAAGUCUGACGGAGCAACGCCGCGUGAGUGAAGAAGGUUUUCGGAUCGUAAAGCUCUUUCGUUAGGGACGAACGUGCUCUUUGUGAAUAAUGAGGAGUAAUGACGGUACCUAAAUAAGAAGCCACGGCUAACUACGUGCCAGCAGCCGCGGUAAUACGUAGGUGGCAAGCGUUGUCCGGAAUUAUUGGGCGUAAAGCGCGCGCAGGCGGGAUAUCAAGUCUGUCUUAAAAGUGCGAGGCUCAACCUCGUGAGGGGACGGAAACUGGUAUUCUUGAGUGUCGGAGAGGAAAGUGGAAUUCCAAGUGUAGCGGUGAAAUGCGUAGAGAUUUGGAAGAACACCAGUGGCGAAGGCGACUUUCUGGACGAUGUCUGACGCUGAGGCGCGAAAGCUAGGGGAGCGAACGGGAUUAGAUACCCCGGUAGUCCUAGCCGUAAACGAUGGGUACUAGGUGUAGGGGGUAUCGACCCCUCCU